GAUGAACGCUGGCGGCGUGCCUAAUACAUGCAAGUCGAGCGAACGGACGAGAAGCUUGCUUCUCUGAUGUUAGCGGCGGACGGGUGAGUAACACGUGGAUAACCUACCUAUAAGACUGGGAUAACUUCGGGAAACCGGCGCUAAUACCGGAUAAUAUUUUGAACCGCAUGGUUCAAAAGUGAAAGACGGUCUUGCUGUCACUUAUAGAUGGAUCCGCGCUGCAUUAGCUAGUUGGUAAGGUAACGGCUUACCAAGGCAACGAUGCCUAACCGACCUGAGAGGGUGAUCGGCCACACGGGAGCGGAGACACGGUCCAGAGUCCUACGGGAGGCAGCAGUAGGGAAUCUUCCGCAAUGGGCGAAAGCCUGACGGAGCAACGCCGCGUGAGUGAUGAAGGUCUUCGGAUCGUAAAACUCUGUUAUUAGGGAAGAACAUAUGUGUAAGUAACUGUGCACAUCUUGACGGUACCUAAUCAGAAAGCCACGGCUAACUACGUG
RNAcentral lists this ribosomal RNA (497 nucleotides) under uncultured bacterium. Its description in RNAcentral is "partial 16S ribosomal RNA". It matches the Rfam family "Bacterial small subunit ribosomal RNA", at positions 28 to 507 of the family's 1533-position model. The record is from RNAcentral.